Anopheles merus is the source of this 987-nucleotide long non-coding RNA. RefSeq lists it as uncharacterized. Lineage: Eukaryota; Metazoa; Arthropoda; Insecta; Diptera; Culicidae. The transcript is spliced from 3 exons. The record is from RefSeq and is a predicted model, not a curated record.
CUUUGCUUCUUUCGUUGGGGUUCGUUGCUUAACUGCUAGAAUACAGUUUCACUUUCCACAGGGCCGGGGAGCCGUGUUUGGCUGUGGCUGAGUUUGUCGGUGGCUGUGUAGGUGUGCAACUGGUAGUACUUUUCUUUGCCGUUUUAUUUUUGCGUUUCGUCUCGUUUACGGGGUCCCGGAUUUCCCUUCUUUGCUGUUUCAUCGUUCCUCCAGACCGACGUAAUAUUUGGUUGCGUUUUCUUUCUCGCUUGUUGGUUUUCUGACGUCUAGCAAAGGGUUUCUGCUUUGCUGCAGAAGAACAGUAGUGGUGAGAACUACCAGUGGUUGUAAAGCAUGGAACGAGUAGCCUUGAAGGUAAGGGAAAAGUGAAAGCUUCGCACCACAAACGAUUGACAUGCGGAAGAUAAGAAUUUAUUAGAGUGCAUCAGCCUUCCGGGCACUGUUAGCACGUCAGCGUACGGGAAAGUCAAGGCACGUCAGCGUUCAGCCCUUCGGGGUCUAUAAGUAUCGAACAAUUUUCCAACCAACGGUAAGAAUUGAUUGAAACAAUCGAAUCAAACCAUGCCACCGUGAACCGAAUCCCGACCACGAUCGCGUUUCCUAUUAACACGUAGGUCACGAGAAAGGUUUCGUUCCGACGCGAAGGGAAUUGUAACAUGGAAAGAUAAAGGGACGAAUCAACACCAAUAUGGCUGAAUGGUGUUUUGUUAGUAAUGCCAGAAAUGGAAGUGAAUGAACAUUGAACUCACAACCAACAAACGAACCACAAAAUCGCUAACCAUUUGGAUGAGCAAAAGAACAAAAAACCAGUUUUACCAAAAAGUUUCAAGGAAGAGUGGAAAAUACCAUCGCAACAACUCAAUUACUGUGUGUACUCUGCCAGAAGUAAACAAAGCUAUAAGUUUUAAUUGCAAAUACGUAAAAUAUUGAGAUGGUUAUAAACAUUGGCAAAGAUAUUUAAUAAAAAUAAAAAAGGGGCUGCAAACU